RNAcentral lists this ribosomal RNA (1487 nucleotides) under uncultured bacterium. RNAcentral describes it as "bacterial SSU rRNA". It matches the Rfam family "Bacterial small subunit ribosomal RNA". The record is from RNAcentral.
AACGAACGCUGGCGGCGUGGAUAAGACAUGCAAGUCGAACGGGAUUUUUUUCUGUAGCAAUACAGGAAAAAGUCUAGUGGCGAACGGGUGCGUAACACGUGAGCAACCUACCGUGAAGUGGGGGAUAGCUCGCCGAAAGGCGAAUUAAUACCGCAUGUGGCCAAGGAAGACAUCUUCCUGACGCCAAAGCCGGGGUAACCUGGCGCUUCUCGAGGGGCUCGCGGCCUAUCAGCUUGUUGGUGAGGUAACGGCUCACCAAGGCUAUGACGGGUAGCUGGUCUGAGAGGACGACCAGCCACACUGGAACUGAGACACGGUCCAGACACCUACGGGUGGCAGCAGUCGAGAAUUUUUCACAAUGGGGGAAACCCUGAUGGAGCGACGCCGCGUGGAGGAUGAAGGUUUUCGGAUCGUAAACUCCUGUCAUUAGAGAACAAGGCACAUGGUUUAACUGGCUGUGUGUUGAUAGUAUCUGAAGAGGAAGGGACGGCUAACUCUGUGCCAGCAGCCGCGGUAAUACAGAGGUCUCAAGCGUUGUUCGGAUUCAUUGGGCGUAAAGGGUGCGUARGUGGCGAGGUAAGUCGGAUGUGAAAUCUCCAAGCUCAACUUGGAAACUGCAUUCGAUACUGCUUUGCUAGAGGAUUGUAGAAGGGCAUUGGAAUUCACGGUGUAGCAGUGAAAUGCGUAGAUAUCGUGAGGAAGACCAGUGGCGAAGGCGAAUGCCUGGGCAAUUCCUGACACUGAGGCACGAAGGCCAGGGGAGCAAACGGGAUUAGAUACCCCGGUAGUCCUGGCAGUAAACGGUGCACGUUUGGUGUGGGAGGAUUCGACCCCUUCCGUGCCGGAGCUAACGCGUUAAACGUGCCGCGCUGGGGAGUACCGGUCGCAAGAUUAAAACUCAAAGAAAUUGACGGGGACCCGCACAAGCGGUGGAGUAUGUGGCUUAAUUCGAUGCAACGCGAAGAACCUUACCUGGCCUUGACAUGCAUCUCUAAUCCGGUGAAAGCCGGUGAGUGUAGCAAUACACAAUUUGCACAGGUGCUGCAUGGCUGUCGUCAGCUCGUGUCGUGAGAUGUUGGGUUAAGUCCCGCAACGAGCGCAACCCCUGUGAACUGUUGCCAUGGAGACGUGAGUCUCCGGCACUCUGUUCAGACUGCCCUGUUCAACGGGGAGGAAGGUGGGGACGACGUCAAGUCAGUAUGGCCCUUACGGCCAGGGCUGCACACGUACUACAAUGCCCGACACAGAAGGAUCCGAGACCGCAAGGUGGAGGAAAUCACCAAAGUCGGGCCCAGUUCGGAUUGGAGGCUGCAACUCGCCUCCAUGAAGCCGGAAUCGCUAGUAAUGGCGCAUCAGCUACGGCGCCGUGAAUACGUUCCCGGGUCUUGUACACACCGCCCGUCACAUCAUGGGAGUCGUUUGUACCCGAAGUGCGCGCGCCAACCGCAAGGAGGCAGCGCCCUAAGGUAUGAGCGGUAACUGGGAUG